Molecule: ribosomal RNA, 472 nt
Filed under: uncultured soil bacterium
Lineage: Bacteria
Description: bacterial SSU rRNA
Rfam family: Bacterial small subunit ribosomal RNA
Source: RNAcentral
AGGACGAACGCUGGCGGCGUGCUUAACACAUGCAAGUCGAGCGGUAAGGCCUUUCGGGGUACACGAGCGGCGAACGGGUGAGUAACACGUGGGUGAUCUGCCCUGCACUUCGGGAUAAGCCUGGGAAACUGGGUCUAAUACCGGAUAUGACCUCCUAUCGCAUGGUGGGUGGUGGAAAGAUUUAUCGGUGCAGGAUGGGCCCGCGGCCUAUCAGCUUGUUGGUGGGGUAAUGGCCUACCAAGGCGACGACGGGUAGCCGACCUGAGAGGGUGACCGGCCACACUGGGACUGAGACACGGCCCAGACUCCUACGGGAGGCAGCAGUGGGGAAUAUUGCACAAUGGGCGAAAGCCUGAUGCAGCGACGCCGCGUGAGGAUGACGGCCUUGGGUGUAAACCUCUUUCAGCAGGACGAAGCGCAAGUGACGGUACCUGCAGAAGAAGCACCGGACUAACUACGUGCCAGCAGCCGC